Molecule: ribosomal RNA, 468 nt
Filed under: uncultured bacterium
Lineage: Bacteria
Description: partial 16S ribosomal RNA
Rfam family: Bacterial small subunit ribosomal RNA
Source: RNAcentral
GACGAACACUGGCGGCGUGCUUAACACAUGCAAGUCGAACGGAAAGGCCCUGCUUUUGUGGGGUGCUCGAGUGGCGAACGGGUGAGUAACACGUGAGUAACCUGCCCUUGACUUUGGGAUAACUUCAGGAAACUGGGGCUAAUACCGGAUAGGAGCUCCUGCUGCAUGGUGGGGGUUGGAAAGUUUCGGCGGUUGGGGAUGGACUCGCGGCUUAUCAGCUUGUUGGUGGGGUAGUGGCUUACCAAGGCUUUGACGGGUAGCCGGCCUGAGAGGGUGACCGGCCACAUUGGGACUGAGACACGGCCCAGACUCCUACGGGAGGCAGCAGUGGGGAAUAUUGCACAAUGGGCGGAAGCCUGAUGCAGCAACGCCGCGUGCGGGAUGACGGCCUUCGGGUUGUAAACCGCUUUCGCCUGUGACGAAGCGUGAGUGACGGUAAUGGGUAAAGAAGCACCGGCUAACUACGUG